GAUGAACGCUGGCGGCGUGCCUAAUACAUGCAAGUCGAGCGAACAGACGAGGAGCUUGCUCCUCUGACGUUAGCGGCGGACGGGUGAGUAACACGUGGAUAACCUACCUAUAAGACUGGGAUAACUUCGGGAAACCGGAGCUAAUACCGGAUAAUAUAUUGAACCGCAUGGUUCAAUAGUGAAAGACGGUUUUGCUAUCACUUAUAGAUGGAUCCGCGCCGCAUUAGCUAGUUGGUAAGGUAACGGCUUACCAAGGCAACGAUGCGUAGCCGACCUGAGAGGGUGAUCGGCCACACUGGAACUGAGACACGGUCCAGACUCCUACGGGAGGCAGCAGUAGGGAAUCUUCCGCAAUGGGCGAAAGCUUGACGGAGCAGCGCCGCGUGAGUGAUGAAGGUCUUCGGAUCGUAAAACUCUGUUAUUAGGGAAGAACAAAUGUGUAAGUAACUAUGCACGUCUUGACGGUACCUAAUCAGAAAGCCACGGCUAACUACGUG
RNAcentral lists this ribosomal RNA (497 nucleotides) under uncultured bacterium. Its description in RNAcentral is "partial 16S ribosomal RNA". It matches the Rfam family "Bacterial small subunit ribosomal RNA", at positions 28 to 507 of the family's 1533-position model. The record is from RNAcentral.